GCUGCCCUUCCUGCCGUUAGACCCUCAAACCCUCUCCAGCAAGGCCCGUGACCCCAGCUUUCGCCGCCACCCUCGAAUCAACCAUGAUUGUUGGAGCCACCGGAAGAUCCAGAACCGUUGCCACACUUUUUUCUUGAAGUGUAGAACUCGUCGUAUCCUCAUAUCGGAAUUCAAUAUUCCAUGUUGCCACACCUACAACAUGACGUGCACAGAUCCAUGAUGCUUUGCUUUGAUCACCGGAAACCCAGACCCACAAGUCCCUUUCUCGCCUUCCCGCGGUGGAAGAGAAUGUUCGGUAUAGCCUCUAUAAAGAGGGAUCUCGGUUGGAGUUUCGUCUAACACGAUCGACGUUGGUUUGCCUUUAGAUGCCUCUCAUCGUUCGAGAGCGAAACCCUGCUUGGUGUUGGCCUGCUAAGUUUUCGAUCUCUUCCCCGAGACCCAAUUUUAUUGUUUUUUUUUUAAGGGAGUUUCUAUUCAUAUCUCCAAAUUUGGCAUGUGGACCUGCUCACUUAAGACUUCAAACUUACUUUAAUAUAUAAUGUAUAUCGCAAUUUGUAUCAGAUUCUUGUUUGUGCAGAUUAUGAUUCCGAAAGCUCGUGCAGAUAUACACAUCAAUCUUCCAGCACUUAAGAAGUUGGACUCGAUGCUUAUUGAAACACUUGAUUCAAUGGUGGAUACUGAGUUUGGGUAUGUAGAAGGUGGUAGCAGGGCAGAAGGACGAAACAGAACUCCAGGUCAGAGCAAGAGAUGGUGGCUCCCAUCACCUCAGUGAUGUCAAUAGAGUGUGGAAAAAAGAGCAAAUUUUUAGGAGGCGAUAAUAGAGACAGUCAAAAGAGAGGACAAAGAAUGCUUAAUGAUCAGAAUCUGACUAUUCCUAACAUGACCAUGGAUUGUAGAAGAAAAUCAAAAAGGUGGAGAGAAGGUAAUUAGCAUCUGAGACAUUGAUCAUCAAAGACAAUCAGAUUUUUGACAGCAAUGAUCAAAAUGGAUGUCAACAAACAGUGGAAAAAGGAAACUAAGGAGAGUUUCAGAAGGUGAUGUUGCUAAUAUGAGCAUGGAUUGUCGAAGAAAAUCAAAAAGGUGGAGAGAAGCAUCUGAGCCAGUGUUAAUAAAAAAGAAUCAGACGUUCGAGAGUAAUAAUGAAAAUGACAAUGCAUCUAACUAUUGUGAUGAGGGAAGUAGAAACGAUCGACAAAAUUCUGACGUGAUUGUAAAUGAAAGGUUCUUUUCCCAUAAAAAUUCAGAUGCUUAUAAUACAAAUAUGAUAGGUUCUGGACUGGCUUUUUUGGCUGAGGUGUCUUUGGUUGCAAACCACUCGCUUCAACUUUAAAGGCUUGACACCAUGGCUACACAGACUAAGUUCCUGGAAUAGUGGGAAGACAAGAGUUUGUAUCAAUAUGUUGGCUAUUGAAACCAAGUUCCUGCACAAACUCUAUAUGUGGCAUGUUUUACGUAGUUGUAUAAGCUUUUGGGAAAUGCUUUUAACAUUAAUUAAGAGAUAUAUGAAAUAGGUUUGAUUACUCA
Rosa chinensis is the source of this 1524-nucleotide RNA transcript. RefSeq lists it as uncharacterized. The record is from RefSeq and is a predicted model, not a curated record. The transcript is spliced from 7 exons. NCBI's taxonomy places the organism in Eukaryota, Viridiplantae, Streptophyta, Magnoliopsida, Rosales, Rosaceae.